AAGACCUUCUAGUAUCUGUCUCAAGCUUGUAGCUCUAUCUGAAGGUUGUGAAAGAUCCUCCAGCUCUUUCCAAUCUUUAUCUUCAUAGUAGCUCUUCUCUUCAAAGAACUUGACAUCUCUAGAUACAAGUACUCUCCUUGUCUCAGGAACAAAGCAUUUGUAUCCCUUCUGUGUUGAACUGAAGAGAAGAAUGGAGCUUGUACAUAUAGGGGCAAGCUCUUGAAGAUCUUAAGAAGAGUUCUAUGAAGCUUCAGAAGUGAUGAGAAGCUGAUACAAGAUUUGGGCAAUGUCCAAGAAGGGUUCUAAUCAGACAUGGGAGAACAUUGGAGGAGUUUAGGCUGCAAUGGUUAAUGAGAAAGUUAGGGCGAUCCGUACGGACGGCCGUACGGACUGUACGGACCGUACGGACCAGGGCGUCCCAAAACUUAUCAUCUCGACCAUUUAAGCAUAGUUGAGGAAUGUGCAAGCUUAGGGCACAAUGUGUACGGCCAGGAAGUCCGUACAGCAUGGUCUGGUCAUGACUUGGGUCACAAGGCAUGGAGAAACUCAUUUGGACCUUAUACAUGAAGAAGGGAUCAAAAUGGCAUCUUGGAUGGCCUUGGAAAGGAUCAGGCGAGAUGCUGUCCGUGUAUGGAUAAGGUCUUCACUCCUAUUGGCUUAUUCAGUCCACAAGACAGCUCAUGACAGCCUGUGUAAAGACCAGGAACGCCCAAGCUUCCUAUUGGCCAAGCAUGUGAAGCUUACGGUCCAUAGAAUUCAAAAUAAGGCUCCUCCUUGUUUGACUUCACAUGUGUGAUGUAUCUGACUGUAAACCCUAGUAGAAAACAGUCUGUCCUAUUUAAAUAAGAGGCAGAGACGAUUUGUAAGCUCUAAGUGAGUAAGGGGGUUUCCCUUCUCCUUCUCUAAUCUUCAGUCUCUUAUUCUCUCAGUUUCUCUCUAGUCUCUUAAGUCUCUUAAUCUCUGUUCUUAAGUCUCACAUACUCAUAAACACUCUCACUAAUCCUUUCCUAUAUAUCACCUAGAACAAGCUCUAAUCAUUCUUCAUUGAAGCUUAUACACAC
RNAcentral lists this long non-coding RNA (1061 nucleotides) under Brassica napus (rape). RNAcentral's name for it is "long non-coding RNA (BNAP_LNC022902)". Lineage: Eukaryota; Viridiplantae; Streptophyta; Magnoliopsida; Brassicales; Brassicaceae. The record is from RNAcentral.